UCCGCAGGGGGUUUGCCAAGUCUGAUGUGAAAUCCCGUGGCUCAACUGCGGAAUGGCAUUGGAAACUGGCGGACUGGAGUCUGCGAGAGGUGAGCGGAAUUCCUGGUGUAGCGGUGGAAUGCGUAGAUAUCAGGAAGAACACCAAUGGCGAAGGCAGCUCACUGGCGCAGUACUGACCCUCAGGGACGAAAGCGUGGGGAGCAAACA
RNAcentral lists this ribosomal RNA (207 nucleotides) under uncultured bacterium. RNAcentral describes it as "partial 16S ribosomal RNA". It matches the Rfam family "Bacterial small subunit ribosomal RNA", at positions 568 to 774 of the family's 1533-position model. The record is from RNAcentral.